UACGUAGGUGGCAAGCGUUGUCCGGCUUUAUUGGGUUUAAAGGGUGCGUAGGCGGUCAUAUAAUUCAGCGGUGAAAUCCGGCAGCUCAACUGUCGAUGUGCCAUUGAUACUGUAUGACUUGAGUACUGAUGAGGUAGGCGGAAUUGACGGUGUAGCGGUGAAAUGCUUAGAUAUCGUCAAGAACAACGAUAGCGAAGGCAGCUUACUAAGCAGUAACUGACGCUGAGGCACGAAAGUGUGGGGAUAAAACAGG
RNAcentral lists this ribosomal RNA (253 nucleotides) under uncultured bacterium. Its description in RNAcentral is "partial 16S ribosomal RNA". It matches the Rfam family "Bacterial small subunit ribosomal RNA", at positions 524 to 776 of the family's 1533-position model. The record is from RNAcentral.